AUUGAACGCUAGCGGGAUGCUUUACACAUGCAAGUCGAACGAGUGGCGGACGGGUGAGUAAUAUAUCGGAACGUGCCCAGUAGCGGGGGAUAACUACUCGAAAGGGUGGCUAAUACCGCAUACUAUUGGAGCGGCCGAGAUGGGAUUAGCUAGUUGGUGGGGUAAAGGCUCACCAAGGCAACGAUCCGUAGCUGGUUUGAGAGGAUGACCAGCCACACUGGGACUGAGACACGGCCCAGACUCCUACGGGAGGCAGCAGUGGGGAAUAUUGCACAAUGGGCGCAAGCCUGAUGCAGCCAUGCCGCGUGUAUGAAGAAGGCCUUCGGGUUGUAAAGUACUUUCAGCCGGGAGGCGUUACCGACAGAAGAAGCACCGGCUAACUCCGUGCCAGCAGCCGCGGUAAUUC
This 406-nucleotide ribosomal RNA is filed under the name uncultured bacterium. Its description in RNAcentral is "partial 16S ribosomal RNA". It matches the Rfam family "Bacterial small subunit ribosomal RNA", at positions 30 to 526 of the family's 1533-position model. The record is from RNAcentral.